CUCCAGCCCAGGUCCGGCCGGCAAGACAAGACACGGACCCCGGCGGGGCUGGCGCGCAGAAAACUGGCCGCGUGGGACAGGGGGACCUGGGAUAGUGGGGGACGUGCGAAGGUCCACGCGAGCGCCUAGGGUCUUGGAAAGAGGGCCGCGCUGAGGGCACUGCUCAGGCCGGCUCCGGCUCAGCGGCCGCAGAGUGGGCGCCGGUAGCGGGGGCGGAGAAGAUCUCGAAAGAUCUCGUUGCGACGGGAGUAAAGCUGCAGCGCGAGAACUGCGAGGGAAUGUUCUCGCGAGACCCCGUCUCAGAGGCCUUUCUUCCUAAGGCUCCGCCCCCCAGUUACGUACAAGAGUGCGUCAAGCCCGGGCCCAAAAACCAGAGGAGCGACAGGGAAGCCGAAAGGUAGUUGGGAGGCGGAGCUGAUCACUGAGCCUGCGCACAGAACCCGCCGCAGCACUCCCUGCAGCGGUGUCCAGUGGAGUCCUGUCCUACAUUCUGGAGUGGCUUCUGGAAUUAUCUGUUUCACAAGUAAGCUACAAGCUCAGAUAAUGGUGUUUUCUGAUUUCCCUGGUGUCACAGUGAGUAGACCAGGUCCUUCAUCAAACUGAUGCCGAGCAGGGCCCAGAGGGACUCCUGGGCAUGAAGGCCUUUUUGUCCCCCAUUUCUUGUCCGCAAGACUCCACCCUCGGUGACCUUCUCUGAGUUCCAAAGGGCAGAACACUUACUGAUUAAAGGAGAAGCAGAAGCAAAACCACGUGAGGCAAAACCAAAGGGACCAGAGAGACUCGUCAAGAUUAGGAGAUGAGACCACCUGAGACCUCCCCCCGCCUCCACCAAUGUUUUCAGCCACCCCAUCCUUUUGAAACUCUGCAUAAGAAAGGAUGAAAAACUGUUACUGCCUUGAUACUUAUCGAAUACCCCAUCUAACUACAUACAUAAAACCUCUCCUCCAACCUACCAGGGAGUGAAGGUGGGGGCAUGGGGGGUGAGUGUGGGGGUGGGUACAGUUCUUAAGGCACUAGCCUACUGUGUUUUCUUUUGCCUGGCAAAGUAAUAAAGCCACUCUCUCCUUCUCCUCCAUUACUCUGUCUCCAUAUUUCUGUUUGGCAUUGGUGCACAGACAGCCAAGAUUUU
Molecule: long non-coding RNA, 1129 nt
Filed under: Cervus hanglu yarkandensis (Yarkand deer)
Lineage: Eukaryota; Metazoa; Chordata; Mammalia; Artiodactyla; Cervidae
Description: lncRNA (ENSCHYG00000013269.1)
Source: RNAcentral